Molecule: ribosomal RNA, 247 nt
Filed under: uncultured bacterium
Lineage: Bacteria
Description: partial 16S ribosomal RNA
Rfam family: Bacterial small subunit ribosomal RNA
Source: RNAcentral
GCCGCGAGGUGGAGCAAACCCCAGAAAUAACGUCCCAGUUCGGACUGCAGCCUGCAACUCGGCUGCACGAAGCCGGAAUCGCUAGUAAUCGCGGAUCAGAAUGCCGCGGUGAAUACGUUCCCGGGUCUUGUACACACCGCCCGUCACACCAUGGGAGUCGGAAAUGCCCGAAGUCUGUGACCCAACCUUAGGGAGGGAGCAGCCGAAGGCAGGUCGGAUGACUGGGGUGAAGUCGUAACAAGGUAGC